GAUCAUGGCUCAGGAUGAACGCUAGCGGCAGGCCUAACACAUGCAAGUCGAGGGGCAGCACGUUAAAGAGUUUACUCUUUAUGGUGGCGACCGGCGGACGGGUGCGUAACGCGUAUGCAACCUGCCUGACACAGGGGGAUAAUCCGAAGAAAUUUGGUCUAAUACCCCAUAAUACCGAUAUAGGCAUCUAUGUUGGUUGAAAGCUUUGGUGGUGUCAGAUGGGCAUGCGUUGUAUUAG
Molecule: ribosomal RNA, 238 nt
Filed under: uncultured bacterium
Lineage: Bacteria
Description: partial 16S ribosomal RNA
Rfam family: Bacterial small subunit ribosomal RNA
Source: RNAcentral